Molecule: ribosomal RNA, 253 nt
Filed under: uncultured bacterium
Lineage: Bacteria
Description: partial 16S ribosomal RNA
Rfam family: Bacterial small subunit ribosomal RNA
Source: RNAcentral
UACGUAGGAUGCAAGCGUUGUCCGGAAUUACUGGGCGUAAAGGGCGCGCAGGCGGCACUACAAGUCUGAUGUAAAAUCUCCCGGCUUAACUGGGAGGGGCCAUUGGAAACUGUAGAGCUGGAGUGCAGGAGAGGCUAACGGAAUUCCCGGUGUAGUGGUGAAAUGCGUAGAUAUCGGGAGGAACACCAGUGGCGAAGGCGACUACCUGGCCUGUUCUUGACGCUGAGGCGCGAAAGCGAGGGGAGCAAACGGG